UUUCCGUAGGUGAACCUGCGGAAGGAUCAUUAAAGUUAUCGUCCCCCGGCCCUCUGGGCUGGGGUUUUCUAUCCCUCCCUUUGUUUAUUACACCUUUGUUGCUUUGGCAGGCCUGCCCUCGGGCUGCUGGCUCUGGCCGGCGCGCGUCUGCCAGAGGACCUAAACUCUGUUUGUAUAUGAAGUCUGAGUACUAUAUAAUAGUUAAAACUUUCAACAACGGAUCUCUUGGUUCUG
Molecule: unclassified non-coding RNA, 234 nt
Filed under: plant metagenome
Description: partial contains small subunit ribosomal RNA, internal transcribed spacer 1, and 5.8S ribosomal RNA
Source: RNAcentral